This 519-nucleotide long non-coding RNA is filed under the name Homo sapiens (human). Its description in RNAcentral is "HSALNT0339063". The record is from RNAcentral. Lineage: Eukaryota; Metazoa; Chordata; Mammalia; Primates; Hominidae.
AAGUGAGACCCUGUCUCAAAAAGUAAAAUAAAACAAUAAAAUGAAGAGCCUCUGAUAUAGGCUGAAUUAUGUCCCUCGCAAAUUCAUAUGUUGAAGUCCUAACCCCUAAUUCCUCUGAGUGUGACUGUAUUUGGAAAUACGGUCUUUAAAAGAGACGAUUAAAUUAAAAUGAAGUUAUUAGGUUGGGCCCUAAUCCAAUAUGCCUGAUGUCCUUAUAAGAAGAGGAGAUUAGGACACAGACACGCACAGAGGGACGACCAUGUGAGGACGUAGGGAGAAGACGGCAUCUACAAGCUAAGGAGAGAGGCCUCAGGAGGAACCAGCCCUUCCCACUCCUUGAUCUCGAACUCCAGUCUCCAGAACUACUUCUAGAUUGGGAAACGAAGCUCUGCUGGGCGUGGUGGCUCACACCUGUGAGUGGCUCCCAGCACUUUGAGAGGCCGAGGAGGGAGGACUGCUUGAAGCCAGAAGUUCAAGACCAGCCUGCACAUCACGAGACCCGCCCUCCCCCCACCAAUC